This 119-nucleotide ribosomal RNA is filed under the name Aotus nancymaae (Ma's night monkey). The record is from RNAcentral. Lineage: Eukaryota; Metazoa; Chordata; Mammalia; Primates; Aotidae.
GUCUAUGGCCAUACCACCCUGAAUGCACCCAGUCCUGUUUGAUUUUGGAAGCUCAGCAGGGUCGAGCCUGGUUACUACUUGAAUGGGAGACUUCUGGGGAGUACCAGGUGCUAUAUAGG